UCUCCGUUGGUGAACCAGCGGAGGGAUCAUUAUAGAGUUUUAACACUUCCCAACCCUUGCGAACUGUACCCAUUUCGUUCCCGUUGCUUCAGGCCGCGGGGACGGGGGGGCCCGCAAAGGCAUCCCCCCCCCGCCGGCCCGGGACGGCGGUCUCUACAAACCUUGUUAUCUCUACCUCUGAAACGCGACUGAGCAAACCAAAAAUUAAACAAAACUUUCAAUAACGGAUCUCUUGGCUAUGGCAGCGAUGAAGAACGCAGCAAAUCGGAAGAGCCCACG
Molecule: unclassified non-coding RNA, 279 nt
Filed under: plant metagenome
Description: partial contains small subunit ribosomal RNA, internal transcribed spacer 1, and 5.8S ribosomal RNA
Source: RNAcentral